RNAcentral lists this ribosomal RNA (385 nucleotides) under uncultured bacterium. RNAcentral's name for it is "bacterial SSU rRNA". It matches the Rfam family "Bacterial small subunit ribosomal RNA", at positions 28 to 420 of the family's 1533-position model. The record is from RNAcentral.
GAUGAACGCUAGCGGCAGGCUUAACACAUGCAAGUCGAGGGGUAGAGUUCUUCGGAACUUGAGACCGGCGCACGGGUGCGUAACGCGUAUGCAAUCUACCUUUACAGAGGGAUAGCCCAGAGAAAUUUGGAUUAAUACCUCAUAGUAUUAUGACUCGGCAUCGAGCUAUAAUUAAAGUCACAACGGUAAAGAUGAGCAUGCGUCCCAUUAGCUAGUUGGUAAGGUAACGCUUACCAAGGCUACGAUGGGUAGGGUCCUGAGAGGGAGAUCCCCCACACUGGUACUGAGACACGGACCAGACUCCUACGGGAGGCAGCAGUGAGGAAUAUUGGACAAUGGGCGCAAGCCUGAUCCAGCCAUGCCGCGUGCAGGAUGACGGUCCUAU